AACCCACGUAUGAACCAAUAAGGAUACGUAGUACACCAGGAGUCGGCAAUAAGGCGCCUGAAGGUUUUAGGCGGGAACGGUUGAUCAGUGAGCGUAACUUUCACGAUCAUGGUUACAACCACUCCCCCCACUACUUUCAACCAACCAAUAAUGUGGGUUGAUAUUACUAUAAAUAGUAAUUUCGAAGCCUGCAAUAGGGGUCUUUCUUUCCCCUGAACGAGAAAACAACCACAUUUUCAUAUCUUUUCUUUCCUGCAUUUAUUGCUUUCUAGGAGUAGUCUAAAUGUAAUAUUUUCUUUUUCGCAUUUACUAUUUUCCUAGGAGUAGCUUUUAAGUAGAACCCUAGAAUCUGUCUACCCCACGGGCAUCACUCCGUUGUAAACUAAAUAUCCAUCCCUGUAGCGGACCAAAUCGCGUGUUGUUUUAGCCAUUCGGCUCUUCUUCCGGCUUAAUUUCCGGCCUGCUAUAUAUAUUUGACUCAUUCCAGCCGAACCGAAACAAAUAGUAGUGGUUUUUGAACUCGGCUGGCUCGAUCCCUCGUCAGCCGAAUCGCUUGAUCUGUCAAAGGGCGCAAACUUCGAGGGU
RNAcentral lists this long non-coding RNA (585 nucleotides) under Ananas comosus (pineapple). RNAcentral's name for it is "long non-coding RNA (ACOM_LNC019325)". The record is from RNAcentral. Lineage: Eukaryota; Viridiplantae; Streptophyta; Magnoliopsida; Poales; Bromeliaceae.